UCUGCCUUCCUUUCAUACAUAAAUAUUUCUGUCGUUGUUUAACCUCCGUCACAGUUGGUCGACACAUUUUUGUGUCUCCAGAAUUUUAAUAAGUAAAUACAUUUCCUCGUUGAAAUAAUAUUUAAUUCGUGCUUUGAUCCAAUACUUAGUAAUGGAGGAUGAGUGCUUGAUAAUUAAAGAUAAGCAAGAUGUGGCCUCUUAAAAUCGGUGAGGUAAAUAAGUUCGACAUCAACUGACGCCAAAUUCCACCGUCAAAAAUAAGACUCAAUAUCCUGCAUAUCUUCACCUUCGGCCAUUUAUCUGAUUUAUAUUACACAUGUCUGUUGUCUUAUAACGCCUUCUCCGUCGCCGUGGAAUAGAUAUAGAUGACAUCGAGCCGAAUGGAAUUCCAGCACCCGACUCGCGUCUUUCAUCUCACCUCAGUAAUCUAUUAUCUCAACAGCCAGGGCGAGACGAGAAGCAAUAAUUCUUCCCUCUCAAAACGCCUUGAAAUGAGUUACAGCAAACUCAUCUCAUAGAUAUGCAAACAUAGAGACAAGUAUUAAUUGUAAGACCUUUUGCAUGUAUGCUUCAUUCUGAAAAGGUAUCAACUAAGAAUUUGAAAAAAAUGUUUGGUCUUUCUAUUUGGCCAAUUUUCGACAGGGAAUAUGAUAAUAUGAUAAUCAAUUAAACGCACGAUAACCUAUCUUCGUCCCUCACCUCGCAAAGGUGUAAGACUCUUUCAACACGUGAUAAGUCAGAUCGUCAAGCAUGAUUUGUGCUCUUAGGUCUAUUUUGUUUCGUAGACCCGCAAUUGAUGACUUAGCCUCUUAAAUGGGAUAGUAGCAAGCGACGAUAGGUUUUUAAUACCUGUUUAAAAAAUUUUUCCUGCCGCAUAUCCUGUGUUCUGCAAAUACUCGAACUGUAUUCCAGUCUCUUUAAUAGAUCUGAAAGAACAUAAUGAUUUUAAAGACAUCUUUCUUCACUGGUACAAUUGACGAUUUCAAACUGCAUUAGAAACGUUCAACACUAAGAAUUAUAUUUGUGCCCUAGAAGCUUGAAACGUUUUGCUAGUAUAUGUUUUGCUCCAAAAGUUAUGAAGCUUUAGUUCGGUUUUGGCUAAUUUCCGAAACUCUGUUCGUGUGGUAGUCUUUUUCGUGAUUUUCUUACACACUCUAGAUGAUCUUUACAAACAAUAGAUAAUUAAGUAAUGUAAAUCUUAAACCAUUUAAGAAGGAUAUUUUUUAUUUGUGGAAAACAGUUUUGUUGAAAUAUUGUAGCGAGUUUUGACAAAAUGUUGAAGGAGAUAACCCAAUGAAAUUAUCAUCUCGAGUCAGCGAAAGUCUUGAAUUGUCAACUUGCAAGGAACUGCCCAGUUUGUUUUAAAGCUAUAAAGUGCCUUUAUUACGGAAGACUUAAUAUCCUAUUUAUUGAAAAUGUGUAUAGUUCCGUUAUGUGAAGUUAAGUAGGCAAGAGCUCCACAUAUAUACAAAAUAUUCUUGGCAACCUGAGUAAAGUAUUUUGACCAGAUACGGUGCUGAAAUGAUUCGUUUUCAGGUGUCGUGAUUCAUAUUGUAUAAAAUAUUAUGGUACUGAAUUAGCUUAAAUGUCACAUACUCUAUUCCAUUCCAAUGAACAUCGUAGAUAUUAUAAUAAUCUAUUGACCACAAUUCGACAUGUACGAUCUAUCUUAGACACCACCUUUUUGAUAAAUCUUCUUCCAUAACUCCGAAUUCUAACUCCUUGUAAUUAAAAGGAACUUCUUCCAGAAUCGAUGAGUUUACAUCUGGUAUUUUUGAGCCUCUUAGAUGAGAACGAGUGCCGCCAGUUUGUUGUCUUCUCCAUCUAAUCGACUUCGUGUCGUCUGUUCACCUUCUAAAUCUACAGCUUGAAUCUCAAGAAAUACAUUAUUUAAUAUUUCUUCCAAUGCUCGAAGUAUAAAUCUCUUUGGUGGAGGCCAAGGUCUGCCUGGAUGCAACUUCUGCCAUACAUUGUAUCGUAUGGCAAAUUGUAACAAAUUUAUUCUUGUGUUUGCGAUGAUUUUGUGUUCCUCACAAUGAAGAUAUUUCUGUCCUUAUCCUUUUUGUGUGUGACAGAGUGUUUCACCAACCUCAUAUGUGAACAGUGUAUAAUAUAAUACGGUAACCUCCAUGGAGGAAUGCGAGUGCGGUGCAGGCUAUUGCAUAUGCAGAGCAAGUAUGCAUGGCCCUAUAUACGUAACACAAUUAGGAUACACGUAUCAUGUACCUAAAUCCAAUGUGUAGCAACGAAGUUGAAUGCGUCCACAUUCGUCUGCACUAUUCAAAGUCAUUUUACCUAUAACAUUAAACGCUCUAUUUUCAUUUCAUUACUUCUUAUUAGUUACAAUUUUAUAAAUAUGAACUGCUGAUCUCGAUCUUUAAUUAAUAUUUUUCCAAUUUUUCACGUCUGGUGAAAAAGUUCCUGUCGCAAGUGAAGUAAAUUUGCCUAAGGAAUAUCUACUACGUAUAUAAAAUUUUACGUAAAAUAUUUGAGAUUACAUAUUCUUUGAUUUUGCUGAAGUAUACACUGGAAAAUUUUGAAUUUUCAUGUUCAUUACUGGGAUAAGGUUGGCUAAAGCUUACGCGUGGAAACCUUAGUGGAGCUACGUCUCUUAAUAAUUUUUAUACUCUUUAGUAUCACCUUCGAAUUAGAAAUUAAAAGUUGACUUUCAUUAACACCUUUUCUACAAUUUUACACAUAUAGCAUUGAUACACGCCUUAUCCUUGUAGUCUCUCCCUAGCUUGGAGCAAUAAUCCCAGUGCUUGUAAGCCUCGCCCCACAGUGGGCCAGAUUUAAUAAAUUUUGGCCAAAAAUUUGAAAAUCGAUCAUCAAUUUGAAAAGUAAUCCGAAUUUCAAUUGCUAAUGUUGUUAAUCAUUACAAGAUCGGCCAUUAAGCCUUUCAGCAAAAAAUGUUUAAUUUAAAUUCCUCUACUAUAGAGGGUGUGGUUUUUAAAGCCAAGAUACUUUCCUGCUACCACCUCAGUUUUCUGAGAAAUCACAAUGAUGGAGUAUACUUAAAGCAUAUUUGAGUAAAAAUAAUUCAACUUAAAUUUGACUUUUUUAACUUUAAUGACUAAAAGUGGGUGUGGUUGGAACAAAGCUUGAUGGUCGCAGCUGGUCACAGCAGUGUAGCAUCCCACUACUAUUACCUAAUUAAUGGCGCCAGUAGUUAGUCAUACGUGCACGGGAAUGGGUGGGAAUGUAAGAAGAUGUAAAAUCCCUAUCUCCGUAAUGUAUUUGGCAUACUUUAACCGCUUCGUUUAUCCGAUUGGCUUGAACCUGUGCCUUAAUAUUUUACACCAAGUUCAAGUUGGUUACAAAAGGUAAGAUGGCACACGAGUUAAGCCAAACAGCGGCACUGCCUUAACGGCCACUUUUUUAAAUUCCUGGCCCACGGACGCGUCCGUGUGACACGUCUACAUACAAGAAAUCAAAGUUGCUCUAGUUCAAGUAAUUAUUCAACUUGGAUAUUCACGCAUUUGCGUAUCAGAUAUUAUUAUUAUUUGAAAUGACCUUACCACAACUAAUUUGUAUCACUAUACAUGUAACAACUUUCUGAACAGAGGUCCUCAUAAGCUAUGAAAUCAGACUGCCAUUUAGUACUUUGCAAAUUUAAUAUUAAAUAUGACAUACACACAAUUUCACAUUUUUCGAUUUUGCUGAAACAUGCAUUGGAAAAUUUGGAGUCUUCAUGUUUAUUAUUGGGACUUUGUGUAGGUUGGCGAGACACUACGGGUAGAAACCUACGUAGUGCCACCUCUCUUAAUAAUACUUAUGUAUACUGGUUAAUAUCGCCUUUGAAUAAGAAAUUAAUAGCUGACUUUCAUUAGCAACUUUUCUAGAAUUUUACACAUUUUGCAUGUAAUUGAUUAUGAAUGUAAAGGAUUGGAAAUAUUGCAAAUUUUGAAUCCGUUUAUGAAUAAUUUUGGAUACUUUUUCAUAUAUGUAUAUAUGCAAACUUAUGUACCCACUUAUUUACAUAUUUGUAUCACCUCCAUUUCCACAAAUACAUUGAUAUAUACAUAUGUGCAUAUGCCAGACAAUGGUAGUCGCAGCAAGUAUGUACUAGGUUUGUUUUCAUGUUAAGUGUCAUAGUGAAGAUAUCAUGUACAAAUUUAUUUAAAAAAAGCAUCUACGAGUCAAAAUUAUUAAUUAAUACUUGAAGCUUACAUAUGUACAUUCGUGUCGUUUACUAAAUAGUCUGUAAAAAUAUGUAUGUAUAUAAAAGUCAUAGAAUUAUUGUAUGCCAAGAAAAUUGCUAAUUGUCGAAAUUUAUUCGGUUAUUUGCACAUUUUCUUUGAUUAUUUUUAUCCCGACAGUUUAAACAAUAAAAUUUUAUUUCUUCAUU
Molecule: long non-coding RNA, 4348 nt
Organism: Folsomia candida
Lineage: Eukaryota; Metazoa; Arthropoda; Collembola; Entomobryomorpha; Isotomidae
Exons: 3
Source: RefSeq, a predicted model, not a curated record